CGGAGGAUGGCUCAGUGGAAAACAGCUCGACUAUCAAUCCAAGCACGCGGGUUCGAUUCCCCGACUCUUCCGU
Non-coding RNA from Caenorhabditis elegans, 73 nucleotides. Lineage: Eukaryota; Metazoa; Nematoda; Chromadorea; Rhabditida; Rhabditidae. The record is from the annotation of a RefSeq genome assembly.